RNAcentral lists this transfer RNA (77 nucleotides) under Methylobacterium radiotolerans. RNAcentral describes it as "tRNA-Thr". It matches the Rfam family "tRNA". Rfam says of the family: Transfer RNA (tRNA) molecules are approximately 80 nucleotides in length. Their secondary structure includes four short double-helical elements and three loops (D, anti-codon, and T loops). Lineage: Bacteria; Pseudomonadati; Pseudomonadota; Alphaproteobacteria; Hyphomicrobiales; Methylobacteriaceae. The record is from RNAcentral.
GCCGCAAUAGCUCAGCUGGUAGAGCACCUCAUUCGUAAUGAGGGGGUCGGGGGGUUCGAAUCCCUCUUGCGGCACCA